UUUUCUUGAACCCCGAAAUUUUUCUCUUGCGCAAAUGAUCCUCGGAUCACUGCAUUUGAACCCCACUCUCCUGUUUGCCAAAAUAAUGAACCCCAUUCUCCAGAAAACACCUCGUGUCUCCUUUUCUCCAUUUGAACCCCAGUCGCCUGACGAUAACUUGUGAUCGCCAAUGUGAACCCCGUUCUCCAGAAAAUGCCGCAACAUCUCCCUUUCUCCAUUUGAACCCCGUCUC
Molecule: long non-coding RNA, 232 nt
Filed under: Lathyrus oleraceus (garden pea)
Lineage: Eukaryota; Viridiplantae; Streptophyta; Magnoliopsida; Fabales; Fabaceae
Description: Pisum sativum (pea) long non-coding RNA (PSAT_LNC022845)
Source: RNAcentral